CAGCCAUUUAUUUAGGCAUUAACUAACUAACUACCUACUAGCUAACUAACUUUUCUUUAGUAAGCAUUUGAAGACUCUGAGCCUGUUGCUGGGGUUACAGAAACAAGACAUGGUCUUGCCCUCAAGUUGCUCAGUCUUGUGUCUGAGACUGACAUGUAAGCAGAAAUUCAUAUAUAGUGUGAUGAGUGCCAUCACUGGAGAACAUUCAAGCGGAGGGGAGAAGAUUGCUUUUGGAGUGGGGAGCUCUUCACAGAAUGGACGUUUGCUAGGAGGGGUGGAGACUUACCAAGGGGCUGGGGUGGGCUGAAAUGGGAGUGCCUAUUGACAGUGCCUACUGACAGCGUGGUAGGGACGAAUGUACAGCAUUCAUGGACUGGGAGUGGCAGGCAGGUUGGGAGAGGGUGCAGGUGCUGGGUCUCGAGGGCCUGCAGAAGCCUUGCUGCAGGAUUUGGGUUGACUCUGCAGAUGAGGAAUGUGGAGAAGGGGUGUGAUAACAAUUGGAAUUGCAUUUUGAAAAAUAAUUCUGCUUGCUCUUCAGUGAAUGGACCAGAGGAAGUGAAAUGAAGAAAAGAGACCAAAUAGGAGGCUGUUGCUGUGGUCCAGGCAGGGGGUGCUGAUGGCAGGAGAUGCUGGAGGCCAGAGCCAGGGCGGGCAGUCACUGGUCAGCAGAGGAUGCCAUAUGCCCCGUCUGAAGAUAUUGGAAAGGAGGAGAAGAAAGAGGAAAGCAGAGAAGAUCGCCUCGCAGAGGCCAGGCUGCAGCCUGGGCUCCGUGCACCUCUGCCUGCUGACGGGAUCCACCUCAGGUCAAGAAGGUGCUGGCUCACCCUUCCCUCAAGAUUUUAGAGAUCCCAGUGCAUGUCCUGGAAAUCCUUUAAAAUUCAAAGAAAACAAGCAAAGCUCUGGCUAAUUAAAUGUUUUCUGCUUACCGUCGUUAACAUAUUAAUGCGACAGGCUAAAUGUAUUACUCAGUGGUGCAGAAGCUCUUAGGUCUGUGCACCCCUUUUUGAGAGGAUUUCUCCAUGUGGCAUCCGUGUUUACAGUGCACUGGCUUUCUGUUCAUAGGGCUUUUACGUGGGGGCGAUGGCAUGGCAGAAAGCAUCCCCAGGGUGAGAAGGGGAUGGGGAGGUCCACAUUGCAGUUCAGACCCCCUGGACAUCUGCCUUUGAGAUAGCCACGUCCCUGAGCCUUUCCUUUCAAAGGAUGGUGGGUCAGUUUCUAAUGUUCCCAUUUUGACCUCUCAGACUCAGGGACUGAGGCUAGAGCACAGGUCCUCUCGUUGAGGUCACUGUAGCGCUUCAGCGGCAUCAGCACUCUUGCUUUCUUUUGCACAUCCUUGGUUUUCAGUUAUUAUGGGUACACAGCGAGCCACCCCAAAAUUAGUACAACAAUAGCCAUUUUGCUGUGUUCAUGGAUUCUGUGGGUAAGGAAUUGGGAAGGAGCCCAGGGUGUGGUGCGUCAGUUGGGAAGAUUUGAGUUGAUAGUAGGUUUGCUCACUCCUGUGUCUGUGGUGCACGUGGCCUCUGUGUGGCUGGGCUUCCUUGCAGCAUGGCAUCCUGAGCCGCCUUCCACGGGGCCUUGCUCAGGGCUCCCAGCACAAGUGUUCCAGCCAACAGGGUGGAUUCCACAGCGCCUUUUCUGGCCCAGUCUCUGCCACAUUGAAUCAUCUGUACCUGGCGAGGUCCUGACUUCCUUUCUGCCAGAUCCUUCUCUGGUCCUCAAGGUCCCUUACUGUUUUUGCCCCUGGUUACAACCUCCUGUGUACCUGUCCUGGAGUGUUGUGGUUAGGAGUGUGGUCUCGGGCGCAGACUGAAAUACACUGCUGUGUGCAGUAGGAACCUUGGCUGCUGCCCUGUGUUCAUGGCAAGCACUUCAGAGCUGAGCCUGGUGUGAGGCGAGUCCUCCAUCAACGGCCUUGACUUUUCUUUCCCAGACUAAAGUGCAGGUUCCUUCAGGGAAGCUCUCUCUUGGUCAUCUCUGCCUGGCAUUUCCUGCAGGACUUGGCAAGUACUGCGUUCCCUCUGCUUGGGCGGUCUGCGCUGGGUCUGUCUCCUGUUCUGUAAGUCUCACAAAUUCACCCUCUCAGAGCAGCCGUCUCUGCCUGUCCCCUGCUAGGAGCUGUGGUGACCUCUACUCAUCUUGUUUCCUUUUGUUCAUGACACUAGCUCUAAUGAAAAUGUUUCAUCCCCUCUUUGUUUCUGUUAGACCAGGAUAUGAACCCCACCAGAGCCAGAUCUGGGCCUGUCUCCUUCCCUGCUAUUCAGUGCCUACAAGAGGGUCUGGGUCAAAAAUGAAUGGAGAGAAGGAAGGGAGGGGUAAAAAGAUCGACUUCAGGAAGAUUUCAGAAACACGGUGCUGAGAAUAGUAGGGUCAUGUACCAGGGUGGGAUUUACUUCCUUUUUAUACACUUAAAAAAUCUCAAAGAUAUCCAUUCAGCUUUCAGUUUAGGUGAAAUCUAUUCGUAAUAAAAAUAAAAUGAUAUCUCAACGACAACUUAAUUUUGAGUAAAAAUAUUUUCUGGAGGGCAGGGGGCUCUAAAUACAAAGAAGCAAAGAAGCGCAUCACCUCUCCCCAGUGGGGCUCAUGGCCCUCGAUGGAGCCACCUGGAGCCCAGGCACUUUGCAAUUUAUUCCUGGGUCGCCUCCACCUCCGUCCCUCAGUUAUGGGGCUGUGAUGGUCCACAGCAAGCCCCCAUUCUUGCUGCUCCACUGGUGUGAUUUUCUUGGGACCGAAAUGGGGAGAGGACAGGAUUGUGUGUUUUGCGAAAGCACAGCGUUGGACGUUCAUUGGUGUUCCUCUGUGCUUCCAUGACUUGAGGGCAACCAUCUAGCAGUUUACAGGGGUUCUGAAUAAAUUCCAGGGACCUGGAAAUUAUUGGAUUUAUUUUAUUUUAAGCAGAAACAUUUUAUGUUUAGUGUGGUAACGGCAUGCUCCACUUAGUGUGGUCAUGCCUAGCUCUCUUGUUUUGUGUCCACUUUGGAGUCUGGCUCUGGGCAAGCACUCAAAUGCUCAUAGGAAUCCCACGGCUCAGGGCAUCCUCUGAACCCAAGGGCCUCUAAAGGGGGAACAGCAACGUGGGAAUGUGGGUGGGGACAGCGAGUGAGGAGCCGGUGCAGGGUGACGGCAGGUGUAGGUUCUG
This 3136-nucleotide long non-coding RNA is filed under the name Macaca fascicularis (crab-eating macaque). RNAcentral describes it as "lncRNA (ENSMFAG00000052230.1)". Lineage: Eukaryota; Metazoa; Chordata; Mammalia; Primates; Cercopithecidae. The record is from RNAcentral.